AGGCGUGUAGCUCAGCAGGUAGAGCAGCUGUCUGUUAAACAGCCCGUCGAAGGUUCAAGUCCUUCCACGCCUG
Molecule: transfer RNA, 73 nt
Filed under: Candidatus Chloroheliaceae bacterium
Lineage: Bacteria; Bacillati; Chloroflexota; Chloroflexia; Candidatus Chloroheliales; Candidatus Chloroheliaceae
Description: tRNA-Asn
Rfam family: tRNA
About the family: Transfer RNA (tRNA) molecules are approximately 80 nucleotides in length. Their secondary structure includes four short double-helical elements and three loops (D, anti-codon, and T loops). Further hydrogen bonds mediate the characteristic L-shaped molecular structure. tRNAs have two regions of fundamental functional importance: the anti-codon, which is responsible for specific mRNA codon recognition, and the 3' end, to which the tRNAs corresponding amino acid is attached (by aminoacyl-tRNA synthetases). tRNAs cope with the degeneracy of the genetic code in two manners: having more than one tRNA (with a specific anti-codon) for a particular amino acid; and 'wobble' base-pairing, i.e. permitting non-standard base-pairing at the 3rd anti-codon position.
Source: RNAcentral